RNAcentral lists this ribosomal RNA (301 nucleotides) under uncultured bacterium. RNAcentral describes it as "partial 16S ribosomal RNA". It matches the Rfam family "Bacterial small subunit ribosomal RNA", at positions 509 to 807 of the family's 1533-position model. The record is from RNAcentral.
CAGUCGCCACGGGAAUACGUAAGGUGCAAGCGUUAAUCGGAAUUACUGGGCGUAAAGCGUGCGCAGGCGGUCCGCUAAGACAGAUGUGAAAUCCCCGGGCUUAACCUGGGAACUGCAUUUGUGACUGGCGGGCUAGAGUAUGGCAGAGGGGGGUAGAAUUCCACGUGUAGCAGUGAAAUGCGUAGAGAUGUGGAGGAAUACCGAUGGCGAAGGCAGCCCCCUGGGCCAAUACUGACGCUCAUGCACGAAAGCGUGGGGAGCAAACAGGAUUAGAUACCCGCGUAGUCCCUGUCUCUUAUAC